Molecule: ribosomal RNA, 301 nt
Filed under: uncultured bacterium
Lineage: Bacteria
Description: partial 16S ribosomal RNA
Rfam family: Bacterial small subunit ribosomal RNA
Source: RNAcentral
CAGUAGCCGCGGUAAUACGUAGGUGGCAAGCGUUGUCCGGAAUUAUUGGGCGUAAAGGGCUCGCAGGCGGUUUCCUAAGUCUGAUGUGAAAGCCCCCAGCUCAACCGGGGAGGGUCAUUGGAAACUGGGAAACUUGAGUGCAGAAGAGGAGAGUGGAAUUCCACGUGUAGCGGUGAAAUGCGUAGAGAUGUGGAGGAACACCAGUGGCGAAGGCGACUCUCUGGUCUGUAACUGACGCUGAGGAGCGAAAGCGUGGGGAGCGAACAGGAUUAGAGACCCCCGUAGUCCCUGUCUCUUAUAC